AGCGACUAUCUCAGGGCGCGCU
RNAcentral lists this microRNA (22 nucleotides) under Bombyx mori (domestic silkworm). Its description in RNAcentral is "bmo-miR-2830". The record is from miRBase by way of RNAcentral. Lineage: Eukaryota; Metazoa; Arthropoda; Insecta; Lepidoptera; Bombycidae.